CCUACGGGUGGCAGCAGUGAGGAAUAUUGGUCAAUGGCCGGAAGUCUGAACCAGCCAAGCCGCGUGAAGGACGAAGGUGCCAAGCAUUGUAAACUUCUUUUGUCAAGGGACAAAAUCAGGCUCGAGAGCCUGACCGAGGGUACUUGAAGAAUAAGCAUCGGCUAACUCCGUGCCAGCAGCCGCGGUAAUACGGAGGAUGCGAGCGUUAUCCGGAUUUAUUGGGUUUAAAGGGUGCGUAGGCGAACGGUUAAGUCAGCGGGAAAAGCCCGGGGCUCAACCCCGGCGAGCCGUUGAAACUGGCUGUCUUGAGAUGUCUAGCGGUAUGCGGAAUGCGCAGUGUAGCGGUGAAAUGCUUAGAGAUUGUGCAGAACACCGAUUGCGAAGGCAGCAUACCGACG
Molecule: ribosomal RNA, 398 nt
Filed under: uncultured bacterium
Lineage: Bacteria
Description: partial 16S ribosomal RNA
Rfam family: Bacterial small subunit ribosomal RNA
Source: RNAcentral